RNAcentral lists this non-coding RNA (3422 nucleotides) under Pongo abelii (Sumatran orangutan). The record is from RNAcentral. Lineage: Eukaryota; Metazoa; Chordata; Mammalia; Primates; Hominidae.
AGAAACCUCCUGCGAACGGCUACAGAGGAAAUUUUCAUGUGUGAGAGAUCUGCAGAAAGUUCUGGAACCCGCACCUGGACCAGUUUGGACCCUCAGUGGAAACACGUCAAAGAGAAGGAAAACCAGCUGGGGAAGGGAUCCCGGCCAGCAGCAGCUCAGAUCUGGGAGAAAGAGGCACAGGCGAGGCAGUGCCUGAGCAAUGGAAACCGACGGGCAGGAGGCGGGAAGGGGCUGCGCCACGGGCCUCCCAGGGUCCCCACACCACUGCACACCUAGGACUGAGGGAUGGUCAGUGGGAGUCAAGGGCUGCCCCGGAAGGGAGCCGGUUUUCAGGCAGCUUCCAAGCUGAAGGGCAGAAGCCACCAGGACCUGGCCCAGCGCUCUGGUCCAGGGUCAUGUCACACCUCCGACCAGGGAUUGGAGGCUGCAAAUUGGAGGCACCACUGGCCAAGUGCUCUCGAGUUCUCCACUGGUCAGGUGGGCCGCAGGGGCCUCGGGGGAGCGCCUUGGCACUGUGAGAGGUGAUCAUGCAGGUUCAGGCACAGCCGCCCUGGGGGUCGUCCUCCGUGGGCACCUUAGGGCAGGUGUCCGUAUCCCAGGAACCCUCGCCCCAAGACCCACGGCUAACCCACAGCAGAGUUGCGCUCCAGGCGUGUUUACCUGCAGCCACACACCUCCCCACCCGGCUCCCUGCCCUGCAGAGACGGCCUCCCACUGCUCCCCAGCGGAGCCCUGAGCCUGCCUGUGCCCUGGGCCUGCCAGCACCACCAGGGCCCACCACAGAGGCACAGGAAGCCUGGGUUUGCUCCUGAAUUGCCGUGACUGCCACCUCCUCCACCUGAGAAGGUGUCACUAUGUCACUGUGGACGGCGGACCGGGCACUGCGGGAGGUGGGGUGGCCUGCCAGGGUCCCGACACGAGGCCUCCUUAAGCCCUACCCUCCCCCCAGCACCAGCGCCCGGGACCCUCUGCAGGGACUGUUUCCACCAGGGCCCUGCACCACUGCUCAGCACCCUGGCCCAGCUCUGUCUGCAGGACCUGCUGGCAGGACAGGCCCCUGUCUGUGCAUCGGAAUUCACUGGGAGGCAGCUGCUCCUACAGCCUCAGAUUCCAAAUCCAAAUGCCCAACAGGAGGGCCCUGGGCGAGAAGCUGAGUGCGUCUGGCCUCUGCCCCCAGGACGCUGCAGAACCCUGCUCCGAGAGGGUCUUAAACUGGCCGGUAAGGGCUUCAGCUCAGAACCACGGAGUCUGCAGGACGAAACUGCCUCCACCCGAGUGCUGGGCGGAGGCCCCGUUUUUCACCGACCGACGGCUGGGAGAGCCGUGCCACCCACUGUGCCCUGAGACGCGCACAGGACGGCGACUCACAGAUGCCUUUUGCUGCCCUGCCUGGGUCCUGCCACAGCGCGAGGUGCAUCAGGCCAGGCAGCCACGCAAAGGCCCCCGCUCCUGGCUUCUGCCAUUUUUCUGUCCUGCAACUCUACCCUGGAGCCUCCCACCCCUUCAAAAGCUGCAGGAAGAGGCCUGCAGGCAAGAGAAGAGGACUGCAGGAGUGAGCAAUUUAAGAAACGGAAGGUCGAGGUUUUCCAAUCUAAUUAACAGCAUGACAAGCCAGGAUGGGCUGCUGACCCGCAUGGAGCCUUGCACAGCCAGAAACGCGGUGUCCUGCUCCGCUCCUGAGACGCCAGGGCCGUCACUGCAACACAGCCCCAACACUUCCACACGGGCGGACUCUGGCUCUCCAGGCACUGCAGCGCCCUCUCCUCCCCUUCCCAGCUCUCCUGAGGCCUGUGGUUCUGGAUCUCUGCUCCGUGCAAGCAUGCCUGUGGCCCCCUCCCGUGUCCAGUCGCACCAGGCCCUGGGAUCCCGGAUCUGGCUUCCCCUUUGCAAGUGGUUCAAAGCAAGCACCUGUGGGGGUGGGGGCAGCAAAGCCGUCUGGCCAAGGUCCCUUCCUCUAGAGUGCCUGUCUGUCCGUCUGUCCUUGAGGAGCCUGAGGAGUGCAGGGCAGGACAGGCAGGCACCAGCUGACCCGGUACUGGGCAGGGACCAGUGCAGGACCUUGAGGCAGGGCUUGGUGGGGUGGGGGUGGCCAGAGUCUCCUGGCUCGGAGCAGAUGCGGGUGAGUGGCACAGACUGUCCUCACACCCUCCUGGGACAAAGGCAGGAAUCCAUGACCAGGACAGACACACUCAGGAUGGGAGAGGCAGAGCAGGUGCCUGAGCUUGGCCACGCACAGCUUCCAACGAGGCUGGGCCGUCCACAGCUCCCCAAGGUUACCCGCCACUGUUCACCCCACCCCAGCACAGCCGAGAGCCGUGGUUUCUCCUCCCAUGGAGUCCCACGUGGGCUGCCCACUCCAGGCCCAGCCCGAGGGCACCGCCUUCUCCAGGCUGCCUUCCCCGCACACGCCACACCUCCAGCCCCAGAAGGUUCUGAGGAGGGGAGGAGCUGGGGCCCCCACUCGCCCUCCUGUUGCCAGGAUACAGGCCCAGGAAAAAAUGCCACAGUGCUGGAUUAAUGUCUAGACAACGUGACCUUUCCCCUGGUUCUCUAGAUAUAAUUGGGACCCAAAUUGUCCGGUGUCAUGAGCUGACAGCAGGGAUGAAGGAGGGGUCUGUUCUCGGUGCCCGAGGGGACUCCGGGAGAGGGAGAGGGCAGCCCACUACCUGUGUGGGGGCUGCAUGGGGACGAGCCAGGGUCGCCCACAAAGGCGCUUUCUGUGGAGGGGACGUCACCUCUUCCAUCAGCGAUGACACAGCUCUGAGAUCACAGUGUCCUCACAAUGGCUCCUGUUAACUCCCUGCUGCCCGUCCUGCCAGGCUGGUGCCAUGAGACCCUCGGGGCUGGGCCAUGGGACAGGUGCCUGCCCAGCCCUGCAAACACAUCCAGCAGGUGUUGAGGGCUGCCAAGCACAGACUCCUACUGCCAGCCAUGCACAGCGCCAGCUGCGACAGCAACGCCUCUGCCGGGAGACGCGGAGGAGACCGGCCCCGACGCCUCCUGUCCCGGGGGGCUGCUGCACACUCAGGCAGGAUGCAGGGGUCCUGAGGGGGACCCUCAGCCACCUACGGCUCCCGUGGCCAGUCUGGUCCUGGUAUUUAUCUCAACUUCAUUGUUGUCCAGAAGCUGCUUUUUAUUAUUUGUGACCAUAAAAGGAUGUAAAUAAAUUCCUGUUUUGAGUCCAAACUACCUGGGUCCACCAGGCCACAGAGCAGGGACACGGCCUCAAUGUGGAGUCAAUAAGCCAAGGUUGUGAGAAGAUUCUCAGGAGUGGGGUCCAGGAAGGGAGAACUGAGGGCUGGGGUUUCAGGGGGCAUUUUACUUUUCAUUCCAGGCAGCGCUGUAUUGGCUGGGGUCUCAAAUGCUGAAUAAUGCUCCUGUUGGACUUCAGUAAUUUAAAAAAAUAAAACUGUUUAAAAAUC